GGAGGCGACCGGGAUCCGGUGGUCCCCGCGGUCUUCAAAACCGUUGUGCCGCUUAACGCGGCGGGUGGGUUCGACUCCCAUUCGCCUCCGCCA
RNAcentral lists this transfer RNA (93 nucleotides) under candidate division BRC1 bacterium ADurb.BinA364. Its description in RNAcentral is "tRNA-Sec". It matches the Rfam family "Selenocysteine transfer RNA". Lineage: Bacteria; Candidatus Sumerlaeota. The record is from RNAcentral.